GACGAACGCUGGCGGCGUGCUUAACACAUGCAAGUCGAACGAAGAGCGAUGGAAGCUUGCUUCUAUCAAUCUUAGUGGCGAACGGGUGAGUAACGCGUAAUCAACCUGCCCUUCAGAGGGGGACAACAGUUGGAAACGACUGCUAAUACCGCAUACGAUCUGACCUCGGCAUCGAGGAUAGAUGAAAGGUGGCCUCUAUUUAUAAGCUAUCACUGAAGUAGGGGAUUGCGUCUGAUUAGCUAGUUGGAGGGGUAACGGCCCACCAAGGCGAUGAUCAGUAGCCGGUCUGAGAGGAUGAACGGCCACAUUGGGACUGAGACACGGCCCAGACUCCUACGGGAGGCAGCAGUGGGGAAUCUUCCGCAAUGGACGAAAGUCUGACGGAGCAACGCCGCGUGAGUGAUGACGGCCUUCGGGUUGUAAAGCUCUGUUAAUCGGGACGAAAGGCCUUCUUGCGAAUAGUUAGAAGGAUUGACGGUACCGGAAUAGAAAGCCACGGCUAACUACGUG
RNAcentral lists this ribosomal RNA (510 nucleotides) under uncultured bacterium. Its description in RNAcentral is "partial 16S ribosomal RNA". It matches the Rfam family "Bacterial small subunit ribosomal RNA", at positions 28 to 507 of the family's 1533-position model. The record is from RNAcentral.